UACAGGACGAACGCUGGCGGCGUGCCUAACACAUGCAAGUCGAACGAGGUCCAAGGAAGCUUGCUUCCUGAAGACCUAGUGGCGAACGGGUGAGUAACACGUGAGAAACCUGCCUCGGAGUGGGGAAUAACUCGGGGAAACUCGAGCUAAUACCGCAUACCUUCACAUGAUCGCAUGGUCGAGUGAAGAAAGAAUUUCGCUCUGAGAGGGUCUCGCGGCCUAUCAGCUUGUUGGUGGGGUAACGGCCUACCAAGGCAACGACGGGUAGCUGGUUUGAGAGAACGAUCAGCCACACUGGGACUGAGACACGGCCCAGACUCCUACGGGAGGCAGCAGUGGGGAAUCUUGCGCAAUGGGGCGAAAGCCUGACGCAGCAACGCCGCGUGCGGGAUGACGGCCUUCGUGGUUGUAAACCGCUUUCGGCAGGGACGAAAAUGACGGUACCUGCAGAAGAAGCCCCGGCUAACUACGUG
Molecule: ribosomal RNA, 473 nt
Filed under: uncultured bacterium
Lineage: Bacteria
Description: bacterial SSU rRNA
Rfam family: Bacterial small subunit ribosomal RNA
Source: RNAcentral